CCAGCAGCCAGCCACCCCAGGAAGGCCCCAGCGGGGAUGUAGAAUAGCCUGCACUUCUGAAGUCCUCUCCCUGGUGUGCGGACCCCCGGCUGACAGGAAGUCUGCAGGCUCUUACUCUGCAGUUCCGGCUGACCUUAAACUCACUAUGUAGGCCAGGUUGGCCCGAGGCCCUGACUUGGCCACCCAGGUGAUCCUCCUGGCUCAGCUUCCCAAGUGUUAGGGGUACAGGUAUGUGGCACCACAUCCUGCUCUCAAUUUGAUUUUUCAGACAGGGUCUCUGAGUUCUGCAGGCUGACCUAAAAUUUGUGAUCCUCCUGCCUCAAACUCUCCAGUAGCUCAGAUUACAGGUAUGGCCACCACACCCUGCUAAAUUAUUUUUUCCAACUGAAAUUUGGAUCGAGGUCAUUGGGCAUUCACGUGCAGUCGUAAGGAGCAAGACAGAGAGAUCACAGGGACCCUUUCCUAUACAACGUCACAGCCAGGGCAUCAACACUGGCACGGUCCACCUGUCGGGUGCGGAUCUUUCAUCUCACACUCCUGCGUGGCCUGGACAGUUUACCCUGUUGAUGGUGGGGGGGGAGGGUUUGGAAAGGUGUGAGGCAGUUGGCAACGAGCCCAGCAGCCAGGACCAAUCAUCAUCCGGUCCAGGGGAAAACAGCAGCAAGCGGUUCUAUGACAGCCUCGCACCUCCCACUGGCCUGCCACGGAGAAGGAUUAGGGUGGAUGCGAACAGUGUUAUUACUGCCACCUUCCUAUGCCCUGGAGGUGGGGUGAACUCAGGGUGCAGCGGCUUGAGACAUGAUUCACAGCCUGACUCAUUCAGCCAAGGGCCACCUGAGGGGACGGCUUUUCCCUGGGAGGCGGGCUCAGCCCUCCCAGGUGCUGUGUCCCCUUUAAGAAGGGGACAAAAGGCUCUCUUCACACAUCAAAGAAAAUUUGGGCCACAGUUAGGCUUCUCUGCUUUCAGGAUAUGAUACAAUUUUUUUUUUUCUUUUUUUUCUGGUACUGGGGAUCGAACUCAGGACCUUGCACUUGCAAGGCAGGCAAGGUGCCACUGAGCUAAAUCCCCAGCCCUUCUUUUGGUUUUUUGAGCCAGGGUCUCACUGGGUAGCCCAGGCUGGCCUUGAACUUGGAGCAUUUCUCCUACCUCAGCCUCCUGAAUGCUGGGCAUGUGCCAUGGUGUCUGGGAGAACAUAAUACAAUUCUUAUCAAGUCUAAUACAGUACUUUCUUUUAAAUACAUUAUUUCUAAUAGUUUUCAAUUUACAGAAAAGAUGGCACAGAGAGGUACCACAAACCUACUUUCCCCCAUUAUUAACAUCUUACGUUACUGGAGAUAUUUGCCAUACUGAAUGAAUACUGAUAUAUUAUUAUUAAACUAUGGCCCAGAAAAAAAA
RNAcentral lists this long non-coding RNA (1396 nucleotides) under Heterocephalus glaber (naked mole-rat). RNAcentral's name for it is "lncRNA (ENSHGLG00000037890.1)". Lineage: Eukaryota; Metazoa; Chordata; Mammalia; Rodentia; Bathyergidae. The record is from RNAcentral.